AGUGAACGCUGGCGGUAGGCCUAACACAUGCAAGUCGAACGGCAGCACAGUAAGAGCUUGCUCUUACGGGUGGCGAGUGGCGGACGGGUGAGGAAUACAUCGGAAUCUACUUUUUCGUGGGGGAUAACGUAGGGAAACUUACGCUAAUACCGCAUACGACCUACGGGUGAAAGCAGGGGAUCUUCGGACCUUGCGCGACUGAAUGAGCCGAUGUCGGAUUAGCUAGUUGGCGGGGUAAAGGCCCACCAAGGCGACGAUCCGUAGCUGGUCUGAGAGGAUGAUCGGCCAACCUGAAACUGAGACACGGUCCAGACUCCUACGGGAGGCAGCGGUGGGGAAUAUUGGACAAUGGGCGAAAGCCUGAUCCAGCCAGACUGCGUGGGUGAAGAAGGCCUUCGGGUUGUAAAGCCCUUUUGUUGGGAAAGAAAAGCAGCAGGUUAAUACCCCGCUGUUCUGACGGUACCAAAAGAAUAAGCACCGGCUAACUUCGU
This 491-nucleotide ribosomal RNA is filed under the name uncultured bacterium. Its description in RNAcentral is "partial 16S ribosomal RNA". It matches the Rfam family "Bacterial small subunit ribosomal RNA", at positions 29 to 506 of the family's 1533-position model. The record is from RNAcentral.